Molecule: ribosomal RNA, 478 nt
Filed under: uncultured bacterium
Lineage: Bacteria
Description: partial 16S ribosomal RNA
Rfam family: Bacterial small subunit ribosomal RNA
Source: RNAcentral
GAUGAACGCUGGCGGCGUGCCUAACACAUGCAAGUCGAACGGAGUCCAGCCUUUAAGACCUUCGGGUCAAAGAGGGGAAGACUGAGUGGCGGACGGGUGAGUAACACGUGGGCAACCUGGCUCAUAGAGGGGGAUAACAGAGAGAAAUUUCUGCUAAUACCGCAUAAGCACACACUGCCGCAUGGCAGAGGGUGAAAAGAGAAUCGCUAUGAGAUGGACCCGCGUCUGAUUAGCCAGUUGGCAGGGUAAGAGCCUACCAAAGCGACGAUCAGUAGCCGAUCUGAGAGGAUGAACGGCCACAUUAGGACUGAGACACGGCCCAAACUCCUACGGGAGGCAGCAGUGGGGGAUAUUGCACAAUGGGGGGAACCCUGAUGCAGCGACGCCGCGUGAGUGAAGAAGUAUUUCGGUAUGUAAAGCUCUAUCAGCAGGGAAGAUAAUGACAGUACCUGAAUAAGAAGCCCCGGCUAACUACGUG